RNAcentral lists this ribosomal RNA (392 nucleotides) under uncultured bacterium. RNAcentral's name for it is "bacterial SSU rRNA". It matches the Rfam family "Bacterial small subunit ribosomal RNA", at positions 30 to 424 of the family's 1533-position model. The record is from RNAcentral.
AUUGAACGCUGGCGGCAUGCCUUACACAUGCAAGUCGAACGGUAACAGCACUUCGGUGGCUGACGAGUGGCGAACGGGUGAGUAAUACAUCGGAACGUGCCCGAGAGUGGGGGAUAACGCAGCGAAAGCUGUGUUAAUACCGCAUACGAUCUACGGAUGAAAGCAGGGGAUUCGCAAGGACCUUGCGCUCAUGGAGCGGCCGAUGGCAGAUUAGGUAGUUGGUGGGAUAAAAGCUUACCAAGCCGACGAUCUGUAGCUGGUCUGAGAGGACGACCAGCCACACUGGGACUGAGACACGGCCCAGACUCCUACGGGAGGCAGCAGUGGGGAAUUUUGGACAAUGGGCGAAAGCCUGAUCCAGCCAUGCCGCGUGCAGGAUGAAGGCCUCGGUU